This 456-nucleotide long non-coding RNA is filed under the name Equus caballus (horse). Its description in RNAcentral is "lncRNA (ENSECAG00000045262.1)". Lineage: Eukaryota; Metazoa; Chordata; Mammalia; Perissodactyla; Equidae. The record is from RNAcentral.
CCAACUGUCACAUAUUCCUGUGUCUGUGCCUUCACAUAUACCAAAAUGUAUGAUAAUCAUCUCUGGAUGGAGUCGUUACUGCUGUAUGGAGGAUUAUAAGGAAGAAGAGAUGCACAUCUUUUUCCGGGAAAAAGAACACUAAUUAUCCAUGUGUAACAGAUGAGGAAACUGAGACACUGAGAAAUAGAGACUUUUCCAAGUUUGACUGCUAGUAAAUUUAAGAAUGAGUACUACAGCUCAAGUCUUCUCAUGGUUUUACACCAUGGUGCCUGAGAAAUGGCAGAUGGGCUCCACAAAUGGAAGGAUGAAAGAGUGAAAGAAGAGAGGAAGCUGACUAUUUGUCAUCUGUCUUGGUCUUGGACAUCAUCUCAUCCUGAUCAUCAGGCGGUGGCUGCAUCUCCUUCAAGACACCAGCUUCCAGUCACAUGACUCUGACCCCUGAGUUCCCAUAGCAUU